GAUGAACGCUGGCGGCGUGCCUAAUACAUGCAAGUCGAACGGACAGACGAUGAGCUUGUGCCGUUGACGUUAGCGGAGGACGGGUGAGUAACACGUGGAUAAUCUACCUAUAAUUCGGGGAUAAUUACGGGAAACGGGAUCUAAUAGCGGAUAAUAUAUUGAACCGCAGGGUGCAAUGGUAAAUGACGGCUUUGGGGUAUGGUAUAGAGGGUUCCGCGCCGUAUUAGCUGGUUGGUAGGGUAACAGCAUACCAAGGCAACGAUGCGUGGCAGAGCGCAGGGGGGGAUCGGCCACCAUGGAACUUGGCCACGGUCAAUGCUCCUACGGGACGCAGCAGUAGGGAAUCUUCGGCAAAGGGGGGAAACAUGGCGCAACAACGCCGCGUCAGUGAUAGAAGUCUUCCGAUCGGAAAACUCUGCUAUUAGGGAAAAACAAGUGUCUCCUUAACCAUGCACGGCUUGACGGUAACUAAUAAAAAAGCCACGGCUAACUACGUG
RNAcentral lists this ribosomal RNA (497 nucleotides) under uncultured bacterium. RNAcentral's name for it is "partial 16S ribosomal RNA". It matches the Rfam family "Bacterial small subunit ribosomal RNA", at positions 28 to 507 of the family's 1533-position model. The record is from RNAcentral.